GAGACCCCUAUCCGUAAUUGCUAACUGUUCAGAGAUGGAUAGAGGCUAGUUACAGAGACUGCCGCUGCUAAAGCGGAGGAAGGAAGGGGCCACGGCAGGUCAGUAUGCCCCGGAACUCCUGGGCCACACGCGGGCUGCAAUGGUAGGGACAAUAGGCUCCGACCUCGAAAGAGGAAGGCAAUCCCGAAACCCUACCUCAGUUGUGAUCGAGGAUUGAAACUCGUCCUCGUGAAUAUGGAAUCCCUAGUAACCGCGUGUCAUCACCGCGCGGUGAAUAC
Molecule: ribosomal RNA, 278 nt
Filed under: uncultured crenarchaeote
Lineage: Archaea; Thermoproteati; Thermoproteota
Description: partial 16S rRNA
Rfam family: Archaeal small subunit ribosomal RNA
Source: RNAcentral